RNAcentral lists this ribosomal RNA (443 nucleotides) under uncultured bacterium. Its description in RNAcentral is "partial 16S ribosomal RNA". It matches the Rfam family "Bacterial small subunit ribosomal RNA", at positions 338 to 795 of the family's 1533-position model. The record is from RNAcentral.
CCUACGGGUGGCUGCAGUGGGGAAUAUUGGGCAAUGGUGGCAACUCUGAACCAGCAACGCCGCGUGAAUGAUGAAGGUCUUCGGAUUGUAAAGUUCUGUGAUGGGGGAUGAACACAAUGACGGUACCCCAAUAGCAAGCCACGGCUAAUUACGUGCCAGCAGCCGCGGUAAUACGUAGGUGGCAAGCGUUAUCCGGAAGGACUGGGCGUAAAGGGUGCGUGGGUGGUUUAGUAAGUUGGCGGUGUAAUGCCGGGGAUCAACCUCGGCGGUAGCGCAACAACUAUUAGACUAGAGUGCAGGAGGGGUAAGUGGAAUUCGUGGUGUAGCGGUGGAAUGCGUAGAUAUUAGGAGGAACACCAGGGGCGAAGGCGACAUACUGGACCGUAACUGACGCUGAGGCACGAAAGCGUGGGGAGCGAACAGGAUUAGAUACCCUAGUAGUC